GGAAACGUGGCAGAGUUGGUUUAAUGCACAAAUCUUGAAAAUUUGCGGCCGCUAAUACCGGUCCAGGGGUUCGAAUCCCUUCGUUUCCG
RNAcentral lists this transfer RNA (89 nucleotides) under Clostridia bacterium. RNAcentral's name for it is "tRNA-Ser". It matches the Rfam family "tRNA". Rfam says of the family: Transfer RNA (tRNA) molecules are approximately 80 nucleotides in length. The record is from RNAcentral. Lineage: Bacteria; Bacillati; Bacillota; Clostridia.